Corapipo altera (White-ruffed manakin) is the source of this 2503-nucleotide long non-coding RNA. RefSeq lists it as uncharacterized. The transcript is spliced from 9 exons. The record is from RefSeq and is a predicted model, not a curated record. Lineage: Eukaryota; Metazoa; Chordata; Aves; Passeriformes; Pipridae.
UUCUGUCACCUGAAACAGGAAAACAGUUUUAUUUAAAGUAAAUAAAAUUGAAAGUCUUGCUGUGACAUGGACUGUGUGUUCUCUGACACAAAAGUUCUCACAUUAGAAGACCAACCAGAAGACAAACUCUGGAAUAUUGACAAGAGCUCUAUAAAAAUGCAAUAAAAGUCAAGUUUAUGAGUUUUUAUAUAGCUUCAAAGAGAAACUGUUUAUCAAUGCUGAAGUUCCACAAGCAAGUAAAAUUGGUUUUCUUUCAAAAAAGAAAGUAAAAUGAAGGCAUAAUGUAAUAUUUAGGAAUAUUUACAUAGCCAAAAAUACAUAAAUGUAGUACCUUACAUUUAUUUUGACAUUCAGGUUCAAUACUCAGGAUUUAAUAUCUGAAGAUAUGACAUUUAACAUAUGUUACUGUAAUAGACCCAUGUGUGUUUUCAAUUAUCUACAUACAGUCAGCACAAAACAUAUUUUUAUAUACGAGAUUAUUUUUCUUCUGAUUUUGCAUGCCUCGAUUUUGAAAUGUAUUUUUGAAUAUUUUGAACAUUCCCAACUCCCUGAUGAGAGCUGGACUGGAUACUUCCCCAGGAAUGGGGUCUUUUUACACUCCAGGGUAAAAGAGAGUAAAGGCUUCAGUGUAACUGGGGAAGGGGGAAGAGAGAAGUACAGUGGAAGACGAUUUUGGUCAAAUAUUUCUUUUACAAACAUAACAUUCUUCAAUAUAGCUUGUAAGUAGAACAUGAAAUCGAUUGCUAUAAACCCCUAAAAGUUAUAUAUUGGAAUAGUUACCUUAAGUCAUUUUAUUCUCUACCUCUUUAUGAAUGAUGCCACUAUCCAUACCUCAAAAUUACAAAGAAUUUCUUCAUAACAGGAAAUGAGCUGAACAACUCAGCUUUAUAAAUACCUGGAAAAUAGAGAUUGCUGUAAAAAUAAUGCUGCAUUCUGAUGAGUUUUAACUUGCAGCUUUUAUUUUGAUGACCUUUAAAAAUUUCAUGUAAGUAACUGAAACUCAGUCUUUAUCAACAUUUUAGGAAUGUGGUGUAUGGAAUCUGUGAAUUCCACCAGUGCCCUUAAAUUCCACAAACCGAGUGAGGUUCCAGAGUACCCUGCAGCAAAGAUGGAUCAGAGAACAGCUAUUUGCUGAAUCUUUUCAAAAAGGCAGACUUUUCACCUAAGGACAGAGUUUGCCUUUCAGGCAAAAGCCUCUGUAAGUUGUGAUUUGUCCAUGUUGGUAAAAACCCAAGGAAUUCUGAUGGAAUUGUGUAGUACUGGGGUGGCAGGUGUGUGAAAAGUGACAAAAUUCAAGGCCAAAGUUUGAAAUGUUUGUGCAUUGAGAAGGAAAUAAUUUUCACAGUCUACACCAAUUCCCUUGAUCCAGUGGACUGAUGUUCCAUCAGUAUCCUGCUUUCUUCAUGCCCCAGUCAAGGUAGAAUGGGAAAAUACAGUUUUGUGCUCUCUGUGAGAAGAGCACAUGUUCAGAAAGAACCUGACUUUUGCUCUGGCCUGGAUGUAUACAAGUAGUUUUGUAUGCAAGAAUCAGCUGUUGAAGCCUACAAGUUAUGCAGGUCCAGUGAAUUCAGUGGAGAUCCUUCUGACUGACAGCAGCAUCCAGGCACCUACUGACAGAGAAUCCUGGUGAAGAGACCAGGGGAGUUAAACCAAUACAGAUCUGACAACCUGUAAGACUGGACAGAACAAAGUGACCACCAAAAGCGGGACUUUGUGGGCCAGUUGGAUAAAACAUAAGCUCAUCUCGCCCCCAAAACCCCGACUCUGGAACCACAACCUUCCAAGAUUCAAUUUGUAAGUAAAGUAUCUUUGUAAGAUAUGCCCAAUCAACUGAGUCAUUGCUUACAGAGUGGGUAAUUUUCAGACUAAUAAAAAGAGAAUAUUGUAGCCAAGUCACAAUACACAGUCCUUCAUUUUCUGGACAGCGGGAAUUACUAAGAGAUACUAUUUGUUUUUAUUCAUAUUUUAUGAUUUAUUUAUCAGGCAGGUAAGAAGUACCUCCUCUAAGUGUCUAUAAAAUGACAUGGAACUCCCCAGAAUAACAGUUAUUUAUUAGACCCAGCACUCAAACUAUCUAUUAAGACUUCUUCUCAAAGCGGGUAACAAAUUAUUGUGUAUCUCUUCCACUGUGUCAGACUAAAGUUGACACAUUAUAGAGAAAUGUUUGUCAAUAGUCUAAAUUUUUUAUUUGUAUGAUAAACUAGAAAAUAUUUUCACUUUACUUGAAACAAGUCUUUUCCCAUUAACAAUGGUAGUUUCAAGUAUUCAGCUGUGUGUCUACCACCCUCAGUAUGAUGUUUCUUAAGAACUUCUUUCCAAGGUGAGAGGAAACAGAUUCAUGGACAAAAGGAAUGUGUUUUCUAAAUCCUCACUUUAUAAUUCCAACAGAACUUCUAAAUAAAAUCCAAGUUUAAAAGCAUUAUAGUUUACACUUGGAUGGCUGGAGUAGGUAAAUGCUGUCAGUUACUUUAAAAGAAACUAAUUACUGUGCUUGAAAAGCCAC